GCCCCUCCUCCCUCCCGGAGCGGCGCGGUGCAUGCCGCCGGCGAGGCGGAAGCGGAAGACGAAUGAGAAAAUAAGGGGGCGGGGCGCCGUGACCUCUGACCCGCGCGCACGUGGCCGGCGGCGGCGCACGCGGAGCGGCGGGAAGGAGCCAUGGAGCAGCGGCCUCUUCCCGGCGCGGCGGCGGCGGCGCCGGAGCCGGAGGAGCCGGGCACGGAAAGCGACGACCUGACAGACAGCGAGGAGAGCGUCUACUCCGGCCUGGAGGACUCGGGCAGUGACAGCAGUACCGAGGAGGAGGAGGAGGAGGAGGAAGAGGAGCCGAAGGACAGUCCGCCCUCGCAGGCGCACGUCAAAGGGGCUCCUAGGAAGAGCAGAAACUUAGAGGCUGAUYCAGCGUUGAAGGAAAACCAGCAUCUGCUUCUUCAGAACGAAUAUGAGCAAGACAGCUCAGAUGAAGAGGCGCCCAGCUAAGAUACGAGCUAUGGUUCUUGUCCCUGCCUCGGAGCUCGGCUCAGGUGACCAGAGUGGGUGGUAUCUAACGGUGCUGUCUUGCAGCUCCAGCUCUCUGGACUGUCUCCGGAGCUGGGCCUUGGUCCAGCRUGCUCUGCUGAGAUGCCGUAGCCGGGCAGCAGGGAACCCGUGGUAGGAARCCGUGCGAGGAAGCCCUUUGCAGUGCCACUUCAGCAGCCCCGGCGGCUGUUCUGACUAGGAAUCCCCCAAAAUAAAUAAACUGAUAAAUGCUUUAAAGAAAUCCUG
RNAcentral lists this long non-coding RNA (756 nucleotides) under Apteryx rowi (Okarito brown kiwi). RNAcentral's name for it is "lncRNA (ENSARWG00000007062.1)". The record is from RNAcentral. Lineage: Eukaryota; Metazoa; Chordata; Aves; Apterygiformes; Apterygidae.